GGUGGGGUUCCCGAGUGGCCAAAGGGAACAGACUGUAAAUCUGUCGGCGAAGCCUUCGGAGGUUCGAAUCCUCCCCCCACCACCA
RNAcentral lists this transfer RNA (85 nucleotides) under Pseudomonadota bacterium. RNAcentral's name for it is "tRNA-Tyr". It matches the Rfam family "tRNA". Rfam says of the family: Transfer RNA (tRNA) molecules are approximately 80 nucleotides in length. Their secondary structure includes four short double-helical elements and three loops (D, anti-codon, and T loops). The record is from RNAcentral. Lineage: Bacteria; Pseudomonadati; Pseudomonadota. RNAcentral also lists the same sequence under 5 other names.